This 424-nucleotide long non-coding RNA is filed under the name Nicotiana benthamiana. RNAcentral describes it as "long non-coding RNA (NBEN_LNC012077)". Lineage: Eukaryota; Viridiplantae; Streptophyta; Magnoliopsida; Solanales; Solanaceae. The record is from RNAcentral.
UGUCAUGUGGUGAGGGAUUGCCCUACACUUGGGAGGAGUGCACCUCCAUAGACUGCUCAGCCACAACGUGCUCCUUGGAGUUCUCAGGCCAUAAUCACAGCUCCCGCUGCUAAUGCAGCUACCCAGCCAGCUAGAAGCAAAGGUCGAGGAGCCAGAGGUCGAGGAGGUAGAGGUCGCUCUCUCUCGAGAGUUAAGGCCAGAUAUUAUUAUAUUCCUGCUCGUACCAAGGAUGUUGCCUCCGCUUCUGUCAUUACAGGUAUUAUAAUGGUUAGUCAUAAAGAGGCAUCAGUUUUAUUCGAUCCAGACUCUACUACUCUUAUGUGUCUUCUUACUUUGAUAGGCAUUUGUGGACAGUCCGGGAUUCUUUGAGUUAUCCUGUUUAUGUUUCUACUGCCGUGGGAGAUUCUCUUGUUGUAGAAUGCAU